RNAcentral lists this ribosomal RNA (360 nucleotides) under uncultured bacterium. Its description in RNAcentral is "bacterial SSU rRNA". It matches the Rfam family "Bacterial small subunit ribosomal RNA", at positions 112 to 507 of the family's 1533-position model. The record is from RNAcentral.
AACACGUGGGAACGUACCUUUAGGUUCGGAACAACACAGGGAAACUUGUGCUAAUGCCGAAUGUGCCCUUCGGGGGAAGGAUUUUAUCGCCUUUAGAGCGGCCCGCGUCUGAUUAGCUUGUUGGUGAGGUAAAAGGCUCACCAAGGCUACGAUCAGUAGCUGGUCUGAGAGGAUGAUCAGCCACACUGGGACUGAGACACGGCCCAGACUCCUACGGGAGGCAGCAGUGGGAAUCUUGCGCAAUGGGCGAAAGCCUGACGCAGCCAUGCCGCGUGAAUGAUGAAGGUCUUAGGAUUGUAAAUUCUUUCACCGGGGAAGAUAAUGACGGUACCCGGAGAAGAAGCCCCGGCUAACUUCGUG